Molecule: ribosomal RNA, 264 nt
Filed under: Phycicoccus sp. ISO533_OTU1346
Lineage: Bacteria; Bacillati; Actinomycetota; Actinomycetes; Micrococcales; Intrasporangiaceae
Also listed under: 1 other name
Description: partial 16S ribosomal RNA
Rfam family: Bacterial small subunit ribosomal RNA
Source: RNAcentral
ACGAACGCUGGCGGCGUGCUUAACACAUGCAAGUCGAACGGUGACGGUGGGAGCUUGCUCCUACCUGAUCAGUGGCGAACGGGUGAGUAACACGUGAGUAACCUGCCCCAGACUCUGGAAUAACCCCGGGAAACCGGAGCUAAUACCGGAUACGAGACGAAGCUGCAUGGCUAUCGUCUGGAAAGUUUUUCGGUCUGGGAUGGACUCGCGGCCUAUCAGCUUGUUGGUGAGGUAAUGGCUCACCAAGGCGACGACGGGUAGCCG